Molecule: ribosomal RNA, 252 nt
Filed under: uncultured bacterium
Lineage: Bacteria
Description: partial 16S ribosomal RNA
Rfam family: Bacterial small subunit ribosomal RNA
Source: RNAcentral
UACGUAGGGGCCGAGCGUUGUCCGGAGUUAUUGGGCGUAAAGCGCGCGCAGGCGGCCUCGCGCGCCCGACGUGAAAGCCCCCGGCUUAACCGGGGAGGGUCGUUGGGGACGGCGGGGCUUGAGGGCGGGAGAGGGUGGUGGAAUUCCCGGUGUAGUGGUGAAAUGCGUAGAGAUCGGGAGGAACACCCGUGGCGAAGGCGGCCACCUGGGCCGACCCUGACGCUGAGGCGCGAAGGCGUGGGAGCGAACGGG